RNAcentral lists this ribosomal RNA (253 nucleotides) under uncultured bacterium. RNAcentral's name for it is "partial 16S ribosomal RNA". It matches the Rfam family "Bacterial small subunit ribosomal RNA", at positions 524 to 776 of the family's 1533-position model. The record is from RNAcentral.
UACGGGGGGAGCAAGCGUUGUUCGGAUUUACUGGGCGUAAAGGGCGCGUAGGCGGCCAAGUAAGUUGGGGGUGAAAGCCCGUGGCUCAACCACGGAAUUGCCUUCGAUACUGCUUGGCUUGAGACCGGAAGAGGUGAGUGGAACUGCGAGUGUAGAGGUGAAAUUCGUAGAUAUUCGCAAGAACACCAGUGGCGAAGGCGGCUCACUGGCCCGAUACUGACGCUGAGGCACGAAAGCGUGGGGAGCAAACAGG